UCUGGUAUAGCUCAGUGGUAGAGCGCCCGGCUCGAUUUCCGGGUGGACACAGGUUCGAGCCCUGUUACCAGAACCA
RNAcentral lists this transfer RNA (76 nucleotides) under Chitinophaga filiformis. RNAcentral's name for it is "tRNA-OTHER". It matches the Rfam family "tRNA". From Rfam's summary of the family: Transfer RNA (tRNA) molecules are approximately 80 nucleotides in length. Their secondary structure includes four short double-helical elements and three loops (D, anti-codon, and T loops). Further hydrogen bonds mediate the characteristic L-shaped molecular structure. tRNAs have two regions of fundamental functional importance: the anti-codon, which is responsible for specific mRNA codon recognition, and the 3' end, to which the tRNAs corresponding amino acid is attached (by aminoacyl-tRNA synthetases). tRNAs cope with the degeneracy of the genetic code in two manners: having more than one tRNA (with a specific anti-codon) for a particular amino acid; and 'wobble' base-pairing, i.e. permitting non-standard base-pairing at the 3rd anti-codon position. The record is from RNAcentral. Lineage: Bacteria; Pseudomonadati; Bacteroidota; Chitinophagia; Chitinophagales; Chitinophagaceae.